ACUUUUUAUAAUCACACUUUCAGAAGUCCAGUCUCUUGAUAAUGUAAUAAGCUGUUGCUUUAUAGAACCCUCCCUUUUUUCCUGGUCUCCUGUCAUGGGGAUUCUUGCAUUGGAACAGGUCUCUCAGGAGGACCAGGUGGCAUCAGGGUGGGCAGGGUAUUUUGGGAGUCCCAAAGCCACUGCAGAAGGAAAUAGGGGGCAGUGAUCAGACUCCCCAUGCCCAAAUUUGAAUCCCAAAUUCCCCAAUAUCAUUGGGACAAACAAGCACAUGUCCUCUGCGGGCCUCAGUUUUCUCCUCUUAUACCCAUAAGGUCUGUGACCUCCUCCUGAGCCAUUAGAGGCGGUCAGCUGCGAAGGUGCCCAUUCACAGUAUGACAUCUGCCUGCAGCCAGCUGGGCUCUGGCAACUUCAGCCUCUUCCUGCUAAGACAUUUCAGGCUGGGCGCCACUCGCUCCUCCAGUGCUGACGAGCACCGGUACGUUGCGGUGUGUUUGAGACAGAAAUGGAGCUCGAGACACCCUGCUGGCCCACCAGCAGAGAGGCAGGUGCCUCACCAGCACUCGCUGCAUUUUAGUUUACUGACUUUGACAUGAAGGUGAUGAUAGCACUUAUCUUGGCCUUUAAGAGUCCAAUUUAUCAUUUUUCUUAAAGUCUUUACUGGUUUGGUUACAUGUCUAAGGAUUCUUGGCCCAACACAAGGUCACAAAUAUCUCCAGUGUUUGUUUUCUGCAAAAUUGUGUGUGUGUGUGUGUGUGUGUGUGUGUAUGACUAUUUUUUUUAGAGCAGUUUUAGAUUUACAGCAACGCUGAGUGCAAAGUAUUUAGAGAUCCCCAGGCCACCAAUCAAUGUUUCUGUCUCUCCCUCUCCAUUCCUCUCUCAGAAAUGUUUGUAGCAGCUUUAUGAUAAAUAAUCAAAUAUUAGGAAUAAAAGUGACAAAGUGAGUACUUGUCGAUACCAGGAUUCCGGGGUUAGCUUUUGGAGCAUUUUCUCUCUUGAUUCUCACAACAGCCUUGUAAGUGGAAACUAAUACCGAGUUGCUGGAAAAUCCAAGGAUUAGAGAAAUGAAGUAGGUUCUCCAAAGUUGAUUCCACAGACGAGUGUCAGAAAUAGAGGCUGGAUUCCAACCCGGGAUUCUGGCUCCAGAACCUGGGACAAGUUCUACCAUGGGGGCAGGUACACUGUUAGGACUAGGGAGGCUCAACGAAAGCUGCUGGUGUCAUUGUUGCAGUUAGGAUUAUUCUCCUAAAAUGUCAGAGCACCUCAGUCUUUCAAUGGACAGCAUCAUCUCUCAGCUCCAGUGGUUUCUCCAGCAGAACCUUCUUUCAGAGUGAGCGGCAGCUUGCCUCUCCUUUGAUCCCAGCUCAGAGUUUGACCCACGGGAAACCUCCGUAAUUUGAGUUGUGUCUGCUCUUUCACCCUCUUUGGGUGUCAGGCUCUAAUCCCAUCCACUGUGAUGAAUUUCAUGCCUUAGUUCAACUCUUCAAGUGAUGCUUGUAGCUGGCACUGACACCUUACAGGCAAGGGGACACCUGGACGUGAAUUCUGGGACAUAAUAUUCGAAAGUGAUAAGGAGACCUACAGGACCCUGGUCUCAUUGGCAAGUGCUCACCUCUUUUCUCAAGCUAAGGACCCACUGCCCAUGUGAUUCUGUCCUCUACUUCUGCACUUCUCUAUGAGACAGUGGUGCUCACCAUGUUUUCCCUGCAUGUCGGACCUUGUUCUGGACCCACGUCCUUCCCAGUCUUCCAUGUCCGCAUAGGAUAAUUUUUUUCACGUGCUUAUAGACAGUCAUUUGUUUUCUGUACUGUGUAUUCAAGUCUGUCCUCGUUUUCUGAAUGGGUUGUUUGUUUCCUUAAAUUAUUUCUGAAGUUAUUUAUAUAUUCUGUAUAGAACUCCUGUAUCAGAUUAUGACUUGCAAAUAUAUUCUCUUCACCUGUG
Long non-coding RNA from Myotis daubentonii (Daubenton's bat), 1938 nucleotides. RefSeq lists it as uncharacterized. The record is from RefSeq and is a predicted model, not a curated record. Lineage: Eukaryota; Metazoa; Chordata; Mammalia; Chiroptera; Vespertilionidae.